This is a microRNA precursor of Mandrillus leucophaeus (drill), 97 nucleotides long. The record is from Ensembl. Lineage: Eukaryota; Metazoa; Chordata; Mammalia; Primates; Cercopithecidae.
AGGUGGGAGGAUUGCUUGAGCCUGGGAGGUGGAGGUUGCAGUGAUCCAAGAUCAUGCCACUGCACUCCAGCCUGGGCAACAGAGCAAGACCUUGUCU